Molecule: long non-coding RNA, 907 nt
Organism: Cyprinus carpio carpio
Lineage: Eukaryota; Metazoa; Chordata; Actinopteri; Cypriniformes; Cyprinidae
Source: Ensembl
CAGUGAUGGUGGAAGAUGAUGUGCGUGUGUUGUUGUGGUGGUAAUGGACAGAGAAAUAAAUCAAAUGAGAUCUAGAGUCCUGCUGCAGUGUCAUUAGGAAUCGUGUCACGCACCUCCACCGAGCCUACGCCGCUGAUGCAGAGCCAUGGUGGGCCAGCUGGAGGAAUCUGAAUUCCCCCUGCGUGCUUUCGAGACGGACUGGAGCUUGAUGGAUUGGAUGGGAGAGGCGCAGUGAUAGCCUGAUCUGCAUCUGGAUAGCACUGAGCAGGAAUAAGAGACUUCUGCUGACACCAGCAUCUACCUCUAGAUCUCCUGCGCAUCUGAUAAUCUUACAGGCACACACACAACAGUCAACAGUCUUCACUAACAUUUAAUUCAAAGUGCAGAUGUAUACAAAGCAUUUCCAACUAUCCUGGAGUUACCUUGUUCAAGGGGUCAAUGAUGGCUAAAGGCUUGAACCAGCUAUUUGAAACUUUUCAGCCAUGAGUAAUAGUUUCUACACCAUCCUUAAUAUUAACAUUGAAGCUGAUGCAAGACCAGGUAAGAGACAUGUGGAUUGGCAGCUUGCCUUGAGUGACGGCCAGGUGUUUCACAGUAUCUGUGAGUCUGAUCAUCCAUCAAAGCGAUCGAUCACAAUCCCAGCGGUUUUUAUUAAUGAUCCUGUCAGCUGGCGCGCUCCACGGUGCCCAUAGUUGUCCAGGAUGAUAGAUCUUUAGUCAGCCUGCCUGUUAUUUAUUCUCUUAUGACCUUGUCCAUAUCUAUUGUUGAGCACACCAAAUUAUGAGUGCUGGGACAUGAUAAUUCAGUGUUCAUCUUGCCGUUUUCAAAAAUGUUGAGCUGGAGUGUCAGAUCAUUUAUAAAAUCAAUUGAACAAUUGCCAUUGCAUAAAGGCUUUGGACAGAGUCAU